RNAcentral lists this ribosomal RNA (468 nucleotides) under uncultured bacterium. RNAcentral's name for it is "partial 16S ribosomal RNA". It matches the Rfam family "Bacterial small subunit ribosomal RNA", at positions 28 to 507 of the family's 1533-position model. The record is from RNAcentral.
GACGAACGCUGGCGGCGUGCUUAACACAUGCAAGUCGAACGGAAAGGCCCUGCUUUUGUGGGGUGCUCGAGUGGCGAACGGGUGAGUAACACGUGAGUAACCUGCCCUUGACUUUGGGAUAACUUCAGGAAACUGGGGCUAAUACCGGAUAGGAGCUCCUGCUGCAUGGUGGGGGUUGGAAAGUUUCGGCGGUUGUGGAUGGACUCGCGGCUUAUCAGCUUGUUGGUGGGGUAGUGGCUUACCAAGGCUUUGACGGGUAGCCGGCCUGAGAGGGUGACCGGCCACAUUGGGACUGAGAUACGGCCCAGAAUCCUACGGGAGGCAGCAGUGGGGAAUAUUGCACAAUGGGCGGAAGCCUGAUGCAGCAACGCCGCGUGCGGGAUGACGGCCUUCGGGUUGUAAACCGCUUUCGCCUGUGACGAAGCGUGAGUGACGGUAAUGGGUAAAGAAGCACCGGCUAACUACGUG